UGAAUGCACAAAAGACCUCUACACGUUCUAACAAAUUUAUUUCCCACUAAAUCCUUCUUUUCCCUCUCUUUCUCUAUCUAAACAGAGAGAAAGGGAGAUUUAUCUCUCUCUAAAAUCUUCCAAACCUAUCCAAAUCCUACCUAAGCCUUACCUCACCCAUAUCAUCCAUACAAAAAAAUUACAUGCUUUCUUUCUCACAUUUACUCUCUCUAGAAAGAGAUCUCUCUCUUAAAAAAUAAUAAAUUUAGUAAAUAAAAAAUAUAUAAAUGAUAAUUUUAGCAAAAAUAAUUUCAAUAAGAAAUAUGUGUUAUGAUGUGUUGCAUUUGCUCGUAGAUUAGUUGCUCCGACCACGUCGUUGCCUCGUUAAGCAUGUAGGUAUAAUGCUUCAUAAAUCUGAAUAACUCCAAAACAUGCUAUAAUGCAUUCGAUGCGGCGAGUGGAAACCCUAUGUAGGGCAAAUCUUAUAUACGCUUUUCUUAUCGUUGUUGAAGGAGCCUCGUCAGUGGCUUGUGUGAUGUAAAAUGUUGUUUUGGGCUAACCUAAAAUUUCUCAUAUAAGUACCACAUAUACACCUUUCUUGGUGAUGAGAUUACAAAAUUUUGACCGUGGUGCCACUCAACAAUGGUCGUACAUUUUUUUCUUAGCACGGUGGUUAGGCCCAACUCCCAAAAUUUCUCCCACAUAGAGGAGACUCUUGGAGGUUGCCGGAAUUUUAACUAAAUUUUGGGACUUAGAAAUUUUUGCACUAUAGAAACAAAACUUAUAACUUUCAGAGACAUGGACUUGCAUUCUUAGGGACUCAGACUUACAAAUUCUAAAUACAUAAGCAACUAAAAUACAAAUUAAGAUACUUAUAAUGAAAUGCCAGUAAAUAAGAAUCAAAGUGAAAAUAGCAGGGAACAUGAUAUAGAACCUACAGGGAACUGAAAUUGGUAAUUCGCUCAAGCAUGGGUAAAAUUACAAAACCCUAAACAAAUCAGAAUUUAAAUGGAAAGCUAAGCCAGUAAGGAUGGGACACGUGUCCUCUAAUUGAUAGUUUCAUAGCCAAAUAAUACCACAGGUAAAUGUUCUGACUGGAGCUCACAGUAACCAACCCCUAUUAUUCUGAUAUUCUAUUGUAUUCAAUUAAAUGAUUGAAGCAUGGCAGGCUCGCUAAGUAGUUGAUGUCAGGUUUCUUGGUUUCUUUGAAUGAAGUUUAUAAUAUAUGUGAAACUUCAUAUAUUAAUUUGAACUUAAUGAUUUAUUGUAUGAUAUUUUUCAACCUGUUGCUUGCAUCAUUGUUUUUAACGUCCAUUUUAUCUUGAAUCAUCAUAUAUUUACCAUGGGAUGUUUCUUUGAGAAUAAGUUCAGAUAAGCAUCAUGUCAAAAUGCAUAUCACGGUACUGCUCACCUAUUAUAGAGCGGGUCCUGUACUGCUGUGACAUGUUUACGAUAUGAGUAAUGUGACAUUGCCAAAAUGAUUUUGGAUUUAUUAAUGGUUGAUAAGAAUGAUAGCCAUAACCUUAAAAUAAGAUGGUAGAAAUAAAAUGAUAUCGUAAUAUCAUGGCAGUUACAUAAUUAUUGCCAUAACUUUAUAAUACAGUGACAGCAUAUGUGAAUGAACAAGCGCACCAUUUUUUACUUUAUUUUAAUUUAGACAAUAAAAUUUCAUUAUCCAUGUUCUUCUGCAACAUUAAUCGAUUGCAUUCAGACAACUUCUCACCACAGAAUUUCAGGAUAUGAUGAUGGACAUGUUUUUCUUCCUCUCCUUUAUAAAUAUAUUAUAACAGUGUUUUGAAAAAAUAUGGUAAUUCAGUAUUCUUGUUUUGUUCAUUAUUGUGUUUUGGAUCCAUUUCAAGUUGAUAUGUUCAACAAUCACCAAGUUAUCACAAAUGAAUUAUUCAAAGGCUUAGGCUUCCCUUAAUAAUGGUAUGUUUCCCUGUCAUAUUGUUUGGUAUGAAAUGAAGUCAGUUUUACUUAUUUAGAUUUGAAAAAAUUGCUUUGCUUGUAUAUGGUCCGUGGUGGUGAGCCAUGGCGAAGGCGCACAUCCAGUUGCUGCCACAUAUUUUGAAAUGCAAAGCAGCUGAAAAAUUUGACAAAAUUAGUGUAAAACUAUUGCUUCUUGUGAGUGAGGAUCUGCAAUCACUUGGGAUUAUUCGAGUACUCACCUGAAUGCUGAUAGUUUCCAUCAUGAAAUCAAGCACUUACCGAUGUUGGUUCGGAAAUGGAAAUCUCAGUUUUUGGACUAAUCAGAAUCUUAGUUGUUUAUCAUCACUUCAAAGCAUGCUAUUUUAAAGUUUGUUAUAAUUGUUUUAUGGAUUUUUUGUGCUUUUCUCACUGUCUUUUUUAAUCACUUGUUCAGCGCCAAGGAGGGUUGCUUUAGAAGUUGGUGCACAGCUUGGUGAAGAAGUGGGCUAUGCCAUACGGUUUGAAGAUCAAACAUCUGAUAAAAUUUGCAUGAAGUAUCUCACUGAUGGUGUUCUUCUCCGUGAAAGCCUCUCUAAUCCUAGAUUGGAUCAAUAUUCAGUCAUAAUUCUUGAUGAAGCUCGUGAGAGAAGCUUAAACACGUAUGCCUCUUUCAAACAGUUACUGCUUUAUAUUCAUUACCAUUACAACACGAAGUAUUCUUCUGCGUUUUUGCUGUUUAACACGAUACUUGAUACCUGAAUGGUUGUUUUGACAGUUAUACACGAAGGACAAAUUUUGGAAUUUUUUUGUUAUUAUGGAACAUUGUAUACAUGCUCUUUAGGAGAGUGGUUUAUUUAAAUACUGGAAUGGAAUUUUUUUUUUUAAUUAUAUCAAUGACACACUACUGAUUUUACUUAAAUAAUAAAUCAUAGUUUGCAUGAUUA
Molecule: long non-coding RNA, 2831 nt
Organism: Dendrobium catenatum
Lineage: Eukaryota; Viridiplantae; Streptophyta; Magnoliopsida; Asparagales; Orchidaceae
Exons: 2
Source: RefSeq, a predicted model, not a curated record